Myotis myotis is the source of this 256-nucleotide long non-coding RNA. RefSeq lists it as uncharacterized. The record is from RefSeq and is a predicted model, not a curated record. The transcript has 2 exons. Lineage: Eukaryota; Metazoa; Chordata; Mammalia; Chiroptera; Vespertilionidae.
GCCGCUUUGCUGGAGCAUCCUGGUACUCACUUUCGCAGACGGUGCGGGUGAAGUGGACAAGUCCGAGCGCCUGGACCGCGCCUCACCCCGCCACCCCAGUUUACAGAGGGAUUUUUGGUGCGGGCUUCACUUUUGGGGAGCCCAGCUUGACAACUUUUUUUCUUCAGGAAUCCCUGAAGGCCCCCAGUGUCCCACAGAAAUCCUCUUCUUCACUAAGGUCUUCAGCAUUUAUUGCCUAUCUUAAGUACCUGUUUGG